This 418-nucleotide ribosomal RNA is filed under the name uncultured Leptolyngbya sp. RNAcentral describes it as "bacterial SSU rRNA". It matches the Rfam family "Bacterial small subunit ribosomal RNA", at positions 356 to 791 of the family's 1533-position model. The record is from RNAcentral. Lineage: Bacteria; Bacillati; Cyanobacteriota; Cyanophyceae; Leptolyngbyales; Leptolyngbyaceae.
GGGGAAUUUUCCGCAAUGGGCGAAAGCCUGACGGAGCAAGACCGCGUGGGGGAUGAAUGCCUAAUGGUUGUAAACCCCUUUUAUUCGGGAAGAUAAUGACGGUACCGAAUGAAUCAGCCUCGGCUAACUCCGUGCCAGCAGCCGCGGUAAUACGGAGGAGGCAAGCGUUAUCCGGAAUUAUUGGGCGUAAAGCGUCCGUAGGUGGUUGAACAAGUCAGCUGUUAAAGAGUGGUGCUUAACACCAUAAAGGCGGUUGAAACUGUUUGACUAGAGUUUGGUAGGGGUUGCGGGAAUUCCCAGUGUAGCGGUGAAAUGCGUAGAUAUUGGGAAGAACACCGGUGGCGAAAGCGCGCGACUGGACCUGAACUGACACUGAGGGACGAAAGCUAGGGGAGCGAAAGGGAUUAGAUACCCCAGU